GGAUGCGAUCAUACCAGCACUAAAGCAUCGGAUCCCAUCAGAACUCCGAAGUGAAGCAUGCUUGGCCGAGAGUAGUACUAGGAUGGGUGACCUCCUGGGAAGUCUUCGUGUUGCAUUCC
Molecule: ribosomal RNA, 119 nt
Filed under: Triticum aestivum (bread wheat)
Lineage: Eukaryota; Viridiplantae; Streptophyta; Magnoliopsida; Poales; Poaceae
Source: RNAcentral